This 482-nucleotide ribosomal RNA is filed under the name uncultured bacterium. RNAcentral describes it as "partial 16S ribosomal RNA". It matches the Rfam family "Bacterial small subunit ribosomal RNA", at positions 30 to 507 of the family's 1533-position model. The record is from RNAcentral.
AUUGAACGUUGGCGGCAUGCUUUACACAUGCAAGUCGAACGGUAACAGGCCGCAAGGUGCUGACGAGUGGCGAACGGGUGAGUAAUGCAUCGGAACGUGCCCAGUCGUGGGGGAUAACUACUCGAAAGAGUAGCUAAUACCGCAUACGAUCUAUGGAUGAAAGCGGGGGACCGUAAGGCCUCGCGCGAUUGGAGCGGCCGAUGUCAGAUUAGGUAGUUGGUGGGGUAAAGGCUCACCAAGCCAACGAUCUGUAGCUGGUCUGAGAGGACAACCAGCCACACUGGGACUGAGACACGGCCGAGACUCCUACGGGAGGCAGCAGUGGGGAAUUUUGGACAAUGGGCGCAAGCCUGAUCCAGCAAUGCCGCGUGCAGGAAGAAGGACUUAGGGUUGUAAAGUGCUUUUGUACGGAACGAAACGGCGCUGGUUAAUACCCGGGGAUAAUGACGGUACCGUAAGAAUAAGCACCGGCUAACUACGUG